CCACCACCCUGAACGCUCCCAAUCUCGUCUGAUCUUGGAAGCUAAGCAAGGUCAGGCCUGGUUAAUUUGGAUGGA
Molecule: ribosomal RNA, 75 nt
Filed under: Carlito syrichta (Philippine tarsier)
Lineage: Eukaryota; Metazoa; Chordata; Mammalia; Primates; Tarsiidae
Source: RNAcentral